AAAAAUGAAGAAUAAAGCCCACAAUAGCAUCAAGUGACGGUGAGCAUCACGGCAUUCUACCUCACAUGGGGUGGAAGCCGAUUUCCCAUUGAUGUAGAGUGACUCGUCCUGUUCUUCUCCACUGAUUCUUCUCAAUCGUCAAGAACAAGUGCUCCAAUGGUUCUCGACUCCAUCAUGUGUGUGCGUGGGGUGAGGCCGUGAGGCAGAAAUUGCCUUCGUCUUCACGCUCGGUGGUGAGCGAAUAUCAGUCCUGUGGCCGAACUCAAUCAGAAAUUUCGGUAUUCGAUAUUGGAUUCGCAUACCUCAUAAGCCUCAGUUCGCAGGCCUUUCAAAAUAUAAUAUUGAGCAUUUGAAUUCUUUCAAUUUGAGGAUUUCAUCUCUAUUUCUCUUAUUUUCCUUUUCCUUUUCCUUUUCAUUUCACAUGCCUGGGGAAUGUACGACUUUACCCUUGGCCUUAUCCUUUUGCGAACGCCACCGUCUGUCCGUCAGGACCGUCACGACAUACGCGCCCGCCGCUGGCGCCAACCUUGGCCAGUCGGCCUGGACUUCGACUUCCUCGAAUGCGUCGUCGCCGACGUCUCCCUCUCCCUUGGCGAUACCACCACCGCAACCCUCG
This 616-nucleotide long non-coding RNA is filed under the name Panicum hallii. RNAcentral describes it as "long non-coding RNA (PHAL_LNC000525)". Lineage: Eukaryota; Viridiplantae; Streptophyta; Magnoliopsida; Poales; Poaceae. The record is from RNAcentral.